This 230-nucleotide non-coding RNA is filed under the name Clostridium magnum. RNAcentral's name for it is "T-box sequence". It matches the Rfam family "T-box leader". From Rfam's summary of the family: Uncharged tRNA acts as the effector for transcription antitermination of genes in the T-box leader family. Lineage: Bacteria; Bacillati; Bacillota; Clostridia; Eubacteriales; Clostridiaceae. The record is from RNAcentral.
CUAAAGGCUUUGAAGGGAAGAAGUAGUUCAGUUUCAUGUCUUUCAGAGAGCAUCCGUUGGUGGGAGGAUGCAGACACACUGAUACGAAUACAUCCUGGAGCCUCAGCCUGAGCAUAUAGUAGGGUUUGACGGGAACGCCCGAUAAAGCGUAAGAGUGUGAUUGCACUCGUUGAGGGAUAUUCUGUGAAGAAUUUCUAAAUCAGAGGUGGUACCGCAUGUUUGCCCUCUGC